UCCUAAUGCAGCACGGGGGCCAUCCCCUGAUCAUUUAGUUCCUUUGCUCCAAUCAUUCCUGCCCCUACUCAUCAUGUAAGACCUACACAUGUGCGUGCCCUCUAACGGUAGGAAAAUGGGGUUCACGAGAAUGGAGGAGCAAGAAGUGGACAGGCACCUGGGUCCUCAGUGUGGAGGACAAAGAAUUCCAUAAAGGCUCCAACAUUUCUGGGAGAACCCCGAUUUCCAACCUUCUGUGUCAUUUCUUUCCUGAAUAAACCAGAGGGACUCUGCACCCAGAAGUCAUAAAUGACAUAAACGUUGAUGGAAGAAGAAGGGUUUGAGGGAAGGUGGCAGUCUGAGUAGCAAGAAGGAACUGCAGAGGAAGAGAGAUGAUUAUGGAAAAUGAAAACGGGGGCCUUCAUAUCUGCUGAUUUUGCUGGUCGCAUGGUCAGGUGCCCUGCUGUUGGCUCCUCCGUCUACGUUCUGAUGCAUAGCUGACGGCUGCAGGAUGGAGACAGGAGUUGUUUGGGGAACAACAAGGCAGCAACAGUGCAGCGCUCAGGAAAACCAGGAGACUGUCUAAGAUCAGAGUCUAUGACUAGAAUGGCUGCUGGUAAGAAUCACACCGCGUGGCUGACUGGCAGCUGCAUUCCCAGGGACUUGCAGGCUUGGGCAAUUGUGGAAAGAGAAAGUUUCCAUGGAGAACUAUGCAAAGUGCCUAGAAGGAAUCAUCAGGGCAGGUAGGAAGAUAUGGAGAAAUUCUGCAUCGAGGAGAUGGCUCAGUAAGAAGAGAGGUGCACAAGCAAAUCCCAGGGGCGAUCCUGUUGUGUCUAGAAAGAAGAGACAAGAAAAACCUUUUCUUCCAGAUUCUUUUUUUUUUUCCAGCCAAAGCCACAAGGCCUCUGGCACAUACACACUCAGCUGAUAUUUUUUUAUGUGUCCUACUGUUUCCUCUGAAUUCUUCUGAGCUGCCGUAGAGAAACACUACAUCAACACAAUUUAUUUGAUUACAAUGCCAUGUCAUCUCAUAUAUCUCGUGUUCACAUUAACUUGACAUGGCACUGCGUUUGUGUAUGAGCAUAUAUGGAUGCACAUUAACACAAUCACUGCAGAAUAGCAUUUGUUCAGGGCCCACUACCCUAGUAGAUGCUACACACAGAGCUGAGAAGGCACACAGAACAGUUUAAUAAGAGAGGGGGGAAAAAAGAUACUUUCUAUUUAAUUCAACUUGCAGAAAAACAAAACAAAACGAAAAGCUACUUGAUAUUUCCUCUCCAUGCCUGCUGUAUGGUGGCAAGAAAGACCUCUAAAGCACAUAAAGCUCUUAUCUUUGUUCAUUCCCCAAAGAAUAAUAGACCAGUCAGAGCUCUGAUGCUGUUUUAAUAAUGCACAAUUUACAAUUCAUUGGUUACCAAGCACUCACAGUAUAAUUAAUUUU
Molecule: long non-coding RNA, 1420 nt
Organism: Canis lupus familiaris (dog)
Lineage: Eukaryota; Metazoa; Chordata; Mammalia; Carnivora; Canidae
Exons: 3
Source: RefSeq, a predicted model, not a curated record